RNAcentral lists this ribosomal RNA (253 nucleotides) under uncultured bacterium. RNAcentral describes it as "partial 16S ribosomal RNA". It matches the Rfam family "Bacterial small subunit ribosomal RNA", at positions 524 to 776 of the family's 1533-position model. The record is from RNAcentral.
UACGUAGGGCGCAAGCGUUGUCCGGAAUUAUUGGGCGUAAAGCGCUCGUAGGCGGCUUGUCACGUCGGGUGUGAAAGCCCGGGGCUUAACCCCGGGUCUGCAUUCGAUACGGGCUAGCUAGAGUGUGGUAGGGGAGAUCGGAAUUCCUGGUGUAGCGGUGAAAUGCGCAGAUAUCAGGAGGAACACCGGUGACGAAGGCGGAUCUCUGGGCCAUUACUGACGCUGAGGAGCGAAAGCGUGGGGAGCAAACAGG